RNAcentral lists this ribosomal RNA (497 nucleotides) under uncultured bacterium. RNAcentral describes it as "partial 16S ribosomal RNA". It matches the Rfam family "Bacterial small subunit ribosomal RNA", at positions 28 to 507 of the family's 1533-position model. The record is from RNAcentral.
GAUGCACGCUUUCUUCUUUCCUAAUACAUGCAAGUCGAGCGAACAGACGAGGAGCUUGCUCCUCUGACGUUAGCGGCGGACGGGUGAGUAACACGUGGAUAACCUACCUAUAAGACUGGGAUAACUUCGGGAAACCGGAGCUAAUACCGGAUAAUAUAUUGAACCGCAUGGUUCAAUAGUGAAAGACGGUUUUGCUGUCACUUAUAGAUGGAUCCGCGCCGCAUUAGCUAGUUGGUAAGGUAACGGCUUACCAAGGCGACGAUGCGUAGCCGACCUGAGAGGGUGAUCGGCCACACUGGAACUGAGACACGGUCCAGACUCCUACGGGAGGCAGCAGUAGGGAAUCUUCCGCAAUGGGCGAAAGCCUGACGGAGCAACGCCGCGUGAGUGAUGAAGGUCUUCGGAUCGUAAAACUCUGUUAUUAGGGAAGAACAAAUGUGUAAGUAACUAUGCACGUCUUGACGGUACCUAAUCAGAAAGCCACGGCUAACUACGUG